RNAcentral lists this ribosomal RNA (402 nucleotides) under Bacteroidota bacterium. RNAcentral's name for it is "Bacteroidetes bacterium partial 16S ribosomal RNA". It matches the Rfam family "Bacterial small subunit ribosomal RNA", at positions 355 to 776 of the family's 1533-position model. The record is from RNAcentral. Lineage: Bacteria; Pseudomonadati; Bacteroidota.
UGGGGAAUUUUGCACAAUGGGGGAAACCCUGAUGCAGCGACGCCGCGUGAUUUAGAAGGCCUUCGGGUUGUAAAAAUCUUUUGUAUAGGAAGAAAAUGACAGUACUAUACGAAUAAGGACCGGCUAAUUACGUGCCAGCAGCCGCGGUAAUACGUAAGGUCCGAGCGUUGUCCGGAAUCAUUGGGCGUAAAUGGUACGUAGGCGGGUAAGCAAGUUAGAAGUGAAAUCCUAUAGCUCAACUAUAGUAAGCUUUUAAAACUGCUCAUCUCGAGGUAUGGAAGGGAAAGUGGAAUUCCUAGUGUAGCGGUGAAAUGCGCAGAUAUUAGGAGGAAUACCGGUGGCGAAGGCGACUUUCUGGCCAUAACCUGACGCUGAGGUACGAAAGCGUGGGUAGCAAACAGG